RNAcentral lists this ribosomal RNA (370 nucleotides) under uncultured bacterium. RNAcentral describes it as "bacterial SSU rRNA". It matches the Rfam family "Bacterial small subunit ribosomal RNA", at positions 527 to 896 of the family's 1533-position model. The record is from RNAcentral.
GAACCGAGCGAACGUUGUUCGGAAUCACUGGGCUUAAAGGGCGCGUAGGCGGGCUGCCGCGUCCGGGGUGAAAUCCCACGGCUCAACCGUGGAACGGCCCCGGGUACGGGCGGCCUCGAGGGGGGUAGGGGCGUGCGGAACUGUGGGUGGAGCGGUGAAAUGCGUUGAUAUCCACAGGAACUCCGGUGGCGAAGGCGGCACGCUGGACCCUCUCUGACGCUGAGGCGCGAAAGCCAGGGGAGCGAACGGGAUUAGAUACCCCGGUAGUCCUGGCCCUAAACGAUGAGAACUGGGUAGUAGCCCUGGCAUGGGGUUACUGCCGCAGCCAAAGUGCUAAGUUCUCCGCCUGGGGAGUAUGGUCGCAAGGCUG